This 70-nucleotide transfer RNA is filed under the name Marmota monax (woodchuck). Its description in RNAcentral is "tRNA.Ala". Lineage: Eukaryota; Metazoa; Chordata; Mammalia; Rodentia; Sciuridae. The record is from RNAcentral.
GGGCUGGGGCUCAGUGGUAGGGUGCUUGCCUAGCACACAUGAGGCACUGGGUUCAAUACUCAGCAUCACA